CUCGCCGUUUCCUUCUCUUCGCCCGCGCCUUCUCCUCCAGAGCCCUAACCGCUCGAGGCGGUUCUUCAUCCCCUCUCCUCUCCCGAGCCGAUCUCCACUUUUCCCCUCCUCUUCAUUUCUUCUUCCCCAGCCGAUUCUCUCUUCCUUUUUGGAUCUGUGCAUUUCUUUUCUCCCGAUCCUUUUUGUUCUUUCUUCCUUCUGAUCUCCACUGCCGAUGCCGAGCCUAUCUCCUCUUCCUCGCCUCUGUCCGAUCGUUAGAUCCAGUGUUGUCGGUGAUCUUUGAGCCACCGUCGGUCAAGUUUCUCUCUUGACCGAUCCACCUUUGCCGGCCACAAGGCCGACCAGUGGUGCCAUUCUUCUGCCCUAGCGUCGGCGACCCGCCCCUUUUUAGUGUUGCUCCUCCUCAGCCCUAGUUCCGGCACAAGGAAUUGGAUUACACUCUAGUAAUUGGAAACUAGUGAGAGUAAUUGAUGGAGAGCUUCUCUUCAAUUCAGCAGCCUCUAGUUUCUUCAUUGAACGAUUACAGUGUUGCAUUGAGGGGAUUGACUCAUUUACAGGAUUGAGGCUGUUAAUCUGUGCAGCUUGAGUGGGUGCGGAUUUGGGAAAUCAACAACUUCACCUAGCCAGGUUGCAAUGACCGACAUCAUACUUUUUGGCUGUGAGUCAUCAGUGGUGGUAUGAAUUAGGGUUGAUGCUGUCAGGAGAAAGUUUCAGUUGCUAGUCCCCUGCAUACCACGAAAAAUGCUGGAUGAUCUUUUAGUUUUAUUGUUUAGACUAUGUCCGACUUAUUCUGGUUUUGAUACUAUGGAUUUUGAUACUAUGGAUCUGGUAUGAAUGUAUGUGUUGAUGGUUUUGGUGUUUGGAUA
Zingiber officinale is the source of this 866-nucleotide long non-coding RNA. RefSeq lists it as uncharacterized. The record is from RefSeq and is a predicted model, not a curated record. Lineage: Eukaryota; Viridiplantae; Streptophyta; Magnoliopsida; Zingiberales; Zingiberaceae. The transcript is spliced from 5 exons.